This 255-nucleotide unclassified non-coding RNA is filed under the name Hevea brasiliensis (rubber tree). Lineage: Eukaryota; Viridiplantae; Streptophyta; Magnoliopsida; Malpighiales; Euphorbiaceae. The record is from RNAcentral.
CUCGAUUUAUUUUGGUUCUUAGAGGUUUCACUUGAUCCGCUUUCAUUAUUAGGUCCAGAUUCAGUUAGAUUCAUAGAUGAACUAGAUUCCGUCACAUGGUUUUCACGACCAUUAUUUUUGUCUUGUUUUGCAAACUUAAUAAGCUCUUCGAGUUCCAGAAAUUGUUUCAGAUCAGCAGACUGACGCAAAGCAUGUUCAUAGCCUUGUUCCCACACCAGAAGAGCAUCAUCUUUCCUUCCCAAAGAUGAAAAUGCA